CCUACGGGGGGCUGCAGUAAGGAAUAUUGGUCAAUGGACGAAAGUCUGAACCAGCCAUCCCGCGUGCAGGAUGAAAGCCCUAUGGGUUGUAAACUGCUUUUCGCAGAGAAGAAACGCUUUCAUUAAUGAGAGUCUGACGGUAUCUGCAGAAUAAGCACCGGCUAACUCCGUGCCAGCAGCCGCGGUACUACGGAGGGUGCGAGCGUUAUCCGGUUUUACUGGGUUUAAAGGGUGCGUUGAAGGCGUAUUAGAAAUCUUGUCGCGUAACGAUAAAAUUGCCAAUGAUACUGGUACUCUUGAAUUGGGUGGAGGGUAGCGGAAUGUGACAUGUAGCGGUGAAAUGCAUAGAUAUGUCAUGGAACACCAAUUGCGAAGGCAGCUAACUGGGCCUUGAUUGACGCUGAGGCACGAAAGCGUGGGUAGCGAACAGGAUUAGAUACCCGUGUAGUC
Molecule: ribosomal RNA, 450 nt
Filed under: uncultured bacterium
Lineage: Bacteria
Description: partial 16S ribosomal RNA
Rfam family: Bacterial small subunit ribosomal RNA
Source: RNAcentral